GGACGGUAUAAGCGGUGACGAGGCUGAUCUAACGCACAGAAGAGAGGUAUUUGGCGCCAACAGGCACCAGAAACCGCCUUCAAAAAGCUUCAUUAGCUUUGUCUUUGAAGCAUUCAAAGAUACAACCAUUAUCAUUCUUUUAGUCUGUGCCUUUUUGUCUCUGGGCUUUGGCAUUAAACAGCAUGGCCCAAAAGAUGGCUGGUAUGAUGGUGGGAGCAUCAUUGUUGCCAUCGUACUUGUUAUUGUUGUCUCCUCUGUGAGCAACUUCAAGCAAUCCAAGCAAUUUGAGAAGCUAUCAGAUGCCAGCAGUGAUAUAAAGGUGC
Molecule: unclassified non-coding RNA, 323 nt
Filed under: Hevea brasiliensis (rubber tree)
Lineage: Eukaryota; Viridiplantae; Streptophyta; Magnoliopsida; Malpighiales; Euphorbiaceae
Source: RNAcentral